CUCGGACAGGUACUCCCGCACCUUCUGAUGCUGCGACUGCUGCAGAUGGUAGGAUGUGGGAUUCUCCAGAGGAGAAGACACCGAGCCCUGAGAGGGGAAGAGAUUUGCCCAAGGUCACUGAGCAAGCGGGUGACAGCUGAGACAUGAAUCCAAGUUUCCUGGUUCCUGGACCAAAACUGAAGGUUCUGUCUUCUUCACUCAUUGCAGUUGGUAAAUCCCAAACUCUAAGAGUCAACUUCCACUCCUCUCUGUGUCACGCCCACAUCCUGAUCCUGUUAGAUCCGACCUCAUAUCCACCCUCCUUUGCUGCCACAAGGUGGGCCCAGCCUAUCCUGGGUCUUACCUGGAAUCCCGCAGGAGUAGCCCAGUGUUCAGACUGCCUCCUCUGGCUUGCCCUAGGACGUUCUACUGGCAACUCAGUAGAGCAACUCAUUUAACUCCUGUUAAAUCCUAAGUCAGAUCCUGUCUUCCCCUCUGCUCACAACUCCCCAUGGUUCCCACCUUCCUCAGGGGAAAAGCUAAAGUCCUUACCAUGACUGGAAAGGCCCCCUAGGAUCUGGCCCACCUCGUGUUCCCCUUUGACCCCAUCCGCCAGCUCUCCCUCUUGUUUUAUCUGCUCCGGCUACAUCCUCCAGGCACUUUGAAAUCCCCGAAACAUCCCAGGCAUGCCCCCACCUCAGGACCUUUGCACUUGCUGUUCCCUCUGCCUGGAAUGCUCUCCCCCCAGAUGACAUCAUGGCUCACUCCUUCACCUCCUCCAAGGCUCAAAUGUUACCUUACAGAGACCUUCUAGGACCACCCUAUUAAAAUUACAAAGCCCUCCACCACCACUUCCUAUGCCCCUUCCCUUUUGUUUUUAUUUUCCUCCAUAUCACUUAUCACCAUCUUAAAUACAAUGCAUUUUUGC
RNAcentral lists this long non-coding RNA (907 nucleotides) under Homo sapiens (human). RNAcentral describes it as "HSALNT0106160". The record is from RNAcentral. Lineage: Eukaryota; Metazoa; Chordata; Mammalia; Primates; Hominidae.